UACAGAGGGUGCAAGCGUUGUCCGGAAUCACUGGGCGUAAAGGGCGCGUAGGCGGCCUGAUAAGUCGGGGGUGAAAUUCUGCGGCUUAACCGCAGGACGGCCUUCGAGACUGUCGGGCUUGAGCACGGUAGAGGCUGGUGGAAUUCCCGGUGUAGCGGUGGAAUGCGUAGAGAUCGGGAAGAACAUCGGUGGCGAAGGCGGCCAGCUGGGCCGUUGCUGACGCUGAGGCGCGAAAGCUAGGGGAGCGAAUGGG
This 253-nucleotide ribosomal RNA is filed under the name uncultured bacterium. Its description in RNAcentral is "partial 16S ribosomal RNA". It matches the Rfam family "Bacterial small subunit ribosomal RNA", at positions 524 to 776 of the family's 1533-position model. The record is from RNAcentral.